UACGUAGGGGGCAAGCGUUGUCCGGAUUUAUUGGGCGUAAAGAGCGUGUAGGCGGCCAUGCAGGUCCGUUGUGAAAACUCGGGGCUUAACUCCGAGACGUCGAUGGAAACCGCAUGGCUAGAGUCCGGAAGAGGAGAGUGGAAUUCCUGGUGUAGCGGUGAAAUGCGCAGAUAUCAGGAGGAACACCAAUAGCGAAGGCAGCUCGCUGGGACGGUACUGACGCUAAGGCGCGAAAGCGUGGGGAGCGAACAGG
This 253-nucleotide ribosomal RNA is filed under the name uncultured bacterium. Its description in RNAcentral is "partial 16S ribosomal RNA". It matches the Rfam family "Bacterial small subunit ribosomal RNA", at positions 524 to 776 of the family's 1533-position model. The record is from RNAcentral.